Monodelphis domestica (gray short-tailed opossum) is the source of this 1458-nucleotide long non-coding RNA. RefSeq lists it as uncharacterized. The record is from RefSeq and is a predicted model, not a curated record. NCBI's taxonomy places the organism in Eukaryota, Metazoa, Chordata, Mammalia, Didelphimorphia, Didelphidae.
UGAAGGGCAGAGGCAGGCUCUGGUAUCAGGAGGAGAAACAUGGUAGUUGCAUAAGAAGGCAUAGUCAAACCCCAGGAUGGGAAGUUGGGGCGGGGUCUUGCCCUAGUGGUAGCAGUGCUCCUUCUCUGACACUGGAGGGGGAGGGCAGUGUUAGCACUUGACCCCAGCAGAAGCAGAAGCAGAAGCAGAAGCAAGGCAGUUCUCAAGAGCGGACAGCAGAGUGAGUCCUAGUAGCAGUAGACAGAAGGGGAGGCUCUAGCAUCAACGGCAACAGACUGGGUAUUGAUAUAGCCCCUAGCAGAGAGGGCACUGACCUAGCAGAGUCAAACUCAAGCCCACUCAUAGCCCUUCACUAACUGUAAUCUUGAACUGAAUAGUUGGACAGCUCCUGCCAAGGAGGGCUUGGGGGGGGGGGCACAUUUGGAGAUGAUGGUUCUCUUUCUGAGGCCAUUAGUGUAUCUAUCCAGCUCCCUCAGAAGGAGGGAAGUUCUUCAGAAUCUUCUAAAGGAGCAAAGCUGUGGUAUUUUCUCCCUCCCCCUCUUAAGACUCCCAGGGAAAGAAGGUCCUGGGAACACUAAGCUAGUGGCCAUCCAGAACAUUCUUUUUAUUGACCCUGAACUGGGUCAGGCUGCAGGCAAGAGAGCAAGGAUCUUUUAGCUACCUCAUUCUAGGACUGGAAUCUGUGAAAGAAGUGUUGUCAUCUUUACUGUAGUCCUGAUAUUUCUGGUGCUAUGCCCUUCAUGAUCACCUCUUUGCCACAAGAGAUCCACUGUGAGCUACAAAGCCUUGGCAUCACCAACCACAUCAUUUAGAUUGAGAACUUGGUCCUUUGGAAGGGUGGAGAGAGCCUUCUCAUGUAAUAAAUUGUAUUUUGGGAGAGGAAAAAAGCACAACUAAUCAAUACAUUGAAAAAACCUGAAAAUCUGGGCAAUGUGUAACACCUGUGGACCUCCCACUUCCACAAAGGGCAAUACUUCAAGAACAAGAAAACGCCAUGAAAAUUGGUAAUAAUGCUUUUGAAGCCCCAGUACUUUGAUGGAUCAAACCUCACCGAUGCAGGCACCCUCUUCAGGGCUGCAGAUCGCCACACAUCUUGACCCUCCUGUAUGACUUGUCCAUGUCUCCUGAAAACCCACCAAUGAGAGACCACACAACAUGCUUUCUCUAGGUCCUCAAGAUAUUGCAUGAAUGCCAGUGGAGCACAUACGAUACCCAGGGGAAAUCUGUGCACUCGUUAUCCCCAGUGCAUGCUGCAAGAACAGCCCAUCUUCCAUCACUGUCCUCGUCAAAGGAAUGGCAUCUCCAAUGAGAUCUCCUUAUGCUACUUCUGCAUAACUCUCUAUUACAUACAGUUAUGGAUCCCUAAUAGCUCCUCCCCCAAAUCCUCUGCAAGCAGAGAGGGCAACAGUGGCAUUUUUAGUAAAUGACCAAUUUACCAUACGGUACUCUUAUGGCAAA